This 159-nucleotide small nuclear RNA is filed under the name Echinostoma caproni. RNAcentral describes it as "U1 spliceosomal RNA". It matches the Rfam family "U1 spliceosomal RNA". From Rfam's summary of the family: U1 is a small nuclear RNA (snRNA) component of the spliceosome (involved in pre-mRNA splicing). Lineage: Eukaryota; Metazoa; Platyhelminthes; Trematoda; Plagiorchiida; Echinostomatidae. The record is from Rfam by way of RNAcentral.
GAAAUUACCUGGCGCUGGUACCAGGGCGAUCACGGACGCCUUGGCCCCAGGUGGAGCACGGCUCUUGCACUCUGGCUAGUUGGAGCCUACGACGAUCUCUAAUAGGGCUCGCUCGGGCUCUUAGUUUUUGCCAAUGGGGAGGUAUUCAGACCAUCCCUU